RNAcentral lists this ribosomal RNA (253 nucleotides) under uncultured bacterium. RNAcentral's name for it is "partial 16S ribosomal RNA". It matches the Rfam family "Bacterial small subunit ribosomal RNA", at positions 524 to 776 of the family's 1533-position model. The record is from RNAcentral.
UACGUAGGGGGUAAGCGUUGUCCGGAAUCAUUGGGCGUAAAGCGCGUGUAGGCGGCUGGCUAAGUCCGCUCUGAAAGCCCGGGGCUCAACCCCGGGAGGCGGGUGGAUACUGGUCAGCUCGAGUCCGGAAGAGGAGUGUGGAAUUCCUGGUGUAGCGGUGAAAUGCGCAGAUAUCAGGAAGAACACCAAUGGCGAAGGCAGCACUCUGGGACGGUACUGACGCUGAGACGCGAAAGCGUGGGGAGCAAACAGG